Molecule: ribosomal RNA, 293 nt
Filed under: uncultured bacterium
Lineage: Bacteria
Description: partial 16S ribosomal RNA
Source: RNAcentral
GGACUACCGGGGUAUCUAAUCCUGUUUGCUCCCCACGCUGUCGCGCCUCAGUGUCAGCAACUGCCCAGCAGGCCGCCUUCGCCACCGGUGUUCUUCCGGAUCUCUACGCAUUCCACCGCUACACCCGGAAUUCCGCCUGCCUCUACAGUGCUCCAGCCGCGGCAGUAUUCAUGGCCGACGCAGGGUUGAGCCCCGCGCUUUCACCACGAACUGACCGGGCCACCUACGCGCCCUUUACGCCCAAUGAUUCCGGACAACGCUCGCACCCUCCGUAUUACCGCGGCUGCUGGCAC